Molecule: long non-coding RNA, 705 nt
Organism: Limanda limanda (common dab)
Lineage: Eukaryota; Metazoa; Chordata; Actinopteri; Pleuronectiformes; Pleuronectidae
Exons: 3
Source: RefSeq, a predicted model, not a curated record
AGUAGCAUUACGCACAGUCACAUAGAGAACCUGAGGCUGAUAGUCACGGCCUAUUUCCUAAACUGAAAUGAUUAUAAUAUGAUGAACUGUUAAGUAAUAAACUUUUAUUUUUACUAUGUAAAAGUCUGUAAAGGAGUUAACCUGGCACAUGUAUGACUUUACACAUCUGUGUAUUUGUGUUGAAUGUUCCAACAUGAGACACAACUGGAAUCCAACCAAACUGAACACUGAGUCAUUCCUACAACACUGACUCCAGGGAGGACGAGCCUGAAGGACACAGCUGUGCUGACCGUGUUCUGUCUCUUAUGGCAAAGAAGAAAAAUAAAACACUGGGCUCUUAUCUAAAGUGUAUCAGCCAUCUUUAGUUAAGGGAGGAAAACAUGAAGUGUUGUGCAGAUGAAGCUGGUGCAGUUCGUCCUCAUGUUCACCAGCCUGAAGCUGCCGAUCUCCACCAUGUUGCUGCUGCCACAGUGGAUGCUGAGGACAUCAGGUGCUGCAGUGCUUCAUCUAAUGAAAAGAAGAAACUCACUAUAAAAUAAUAUUUUGUGAUGUGUAGGUUCCAGCAAAGACUGGUUCUUACAGUUUAUUCUGUGUUCAGCAGGUGGAAGCAACACAGAUUUCAGACAGAACCGAUGUUCUGGGUUUGUACCCUCAUGGUUAAAUGCACGUAUUGUAAGUUGCUUUGGAUAAAAGUACUGAAAGAAA